CUAACACAUGCAAGUCGAACGCGAAAGUCCCGCAAGGGAUCAUUAGAGUGGCAAACGGGUGAGUAACGCGUGGGUGACCUGCCUUCGAGCGGGGGAUAACGUCCCGAAAGGGACGCUAAUACCGCAUGACAUCCUGCCUUUGAAGAGGUGGAGAUCAAAGCCGGGGAUUCGCAAGAACCUGGCACUUGAAGAGGGGCCCGCGUCUGAUAGCUAGUUGGUGGGGUAAUGGCUCACCAAGGCAUCGAUCAGUAUCCGGCCUGAGAGGGCGGACGGACACACUGGGACUGAGACACGGCCCAGACUCCUACGGGAGGCAGCAGUGGGGAAUUGUUCGCAAUGGGCGCAAGCCUGACGACGCAACGCCGCGUGGAGGAUGAAGAUCUUCGGGUCGUAAACUCCUUUCGAUCGAGACGAAUGGCUUCCGGGUGAAUAAUCCGGGAGAGUGACGGUACCGAGAGAAGAAGCCCCGGCUAACUCCGUGCCAGCAGCCGCGGUAAUACGGGGGGGGCAAGCGUUGUUCGGAAUUACUGGGCGUAAAGGGCUCGUAGGUGGCCAACUAAGUCAGACGUGAAAUCCCUCGGCUUAACCGGGGAACUGCAUCUGAUACUGGAUGGCUUGAGAUUGGGAGAGGGAUGCGGAAUUCCAGGUGUAGCGGUGAAAUGCGUAGAUAUCUGGAGGAACACCGGUGGCGAAGGCGGCAUCCUGGACCAACACUGACACUGAGGAGCGAAAGCCAGGG
RNAcentral lists this ribosomal RNA (739 nucleotides) under uncultured soil bacterium. Its description in RNAcentral is "bacterial SSU rRNA". It matches the Rfam family "Bacterial small subunit ribosomal RNA", at positions 48 to 765 of the family's 1533-position model. The record is from RNAcentral.